This is a long non-coding RNA of Lathyrus oleraceus (garden pea), 709 nucleotides long. RefSeq lists it as uncharacterized. NCBI's taxonomy places the organism in Eukaryota, Viridiplantae, Streptophyta, Magnoliopsida, Fabales, Fabaceae. The transcript is spliced from 2 exons. The record is from RefSeq and is a predicted model, not a curated record.
GCUCAAUUUUAAAUUCAACUCAACCUCUGUAUUGAGCCACCACCGUCUUCGUCGCGCCAUAGGUCGCCUCUGGCAGCGGCGGAGGGCCAACCACUGAAAAUCACAUACCAUCAUCUUCGUUGCUUCCUCCUCCAUAAUUUCUAGUCCUAAGCCCUAACCGAAUUGAAUCCUUCUAUGAACCCUAAGUAAAGAAACUUAAAUUAAAUUGUCACCAUAUUCAGAAUUGAUCAAUAACCAUGGGGCUAAUGGUCUACUACCUUCAACCAACCAACCGGUAACAAGAAUUUGAAGAAAUGAAGUGAAAUGGCACGAGCUUAUCGGAGCAGAUCGGAGUUCAAGGUGCACCAAGAGCAAGGGUUGUUACAAGCUUAAAGUUUGGCCAUGAUUGAAGCUUGGCAUGGAGGUUCACUAUGAGAACUUGAAGAAAUCCAAAGUUGCUUGCACAUGAAGAAAGGUUUUUCCAUGGAAUCAAAUGGAAUGAUGCAAGAAUGAAGACACGAUGGGUCAUUAGGGUUAUGAAUAUAGAGAUUAGGUAAGUUGACUUUUGUCAAUCAGUUGACCAAAAAGUCAACAUUUGACCAAAAGUCAAUUGUAGGCUAAACUUUGAUUUUUUGUAUUUCUUUCUUGUAUGGAACUUGGUAGAUGUAUUUUGUAUGAUGUCAAAACUAUGACACUUUAUCUUUAAUGUAUAUUGGACAUUAUCAUCUGA